AGUUUGAUUCAAGCAUCAAGAAAGAGUCCAAUAGGACUAGGACUCCUCCUCCAAUUAGGAGACAUCUAAUCUAAAUCAAUUAGGCUCCAAAUAAGAUUUGAUUUUUCAUCUAUUUGAGUCUAAUCAAGUUUUAAUAUGAUUAGGAUUUAUUGAUAUUUUAAAUUAAUUUAAAACAGCCAUCUAACAAAGAGUCCUAUGUUCUUAAAAAAAACUUCCUUUCAUGCGCCAAAAAC
Molecule: long non-coding RNA, 233 nt
Filed under: Elaeis guineensis (African oil palm)
Lineage: Eukaryota; Viridiplantae; Streptophyta; Magnoliopsida; Arecales; Arecaceae
Description: long non-coding RNA (EGUI_LNC045529)
Source: RNAcentral